UACGGAGGUGGCAAGCGUUAUCCGGAAUGACUGGGCGUAAAGGGUGCGUAGGCGGUUGUCUAAGUCAGAUGUGAAAGCCCCGGGCUUAACCUGUGGACUGCAUUUGAAACUGGGCGACUUGAGUACAGGAGAGGAAGACGGAAUUUCUAGUGUAGCGGUGAAAUGCGUAGAUAUUAGGAGGAACACCAGUGGCGAAGGCGGCUUUCUGGACCGUAACUGACGCUGAGGCGCGAAAGCGUGGGGAGCGAACAGG
This 253-nucleotide ribosomal RNA is filed under the name uncultured bacterium. RNAcentral's name for it is "partial 16S ribosomal RNA". It matches the Rfam family "Bacterial small subunit ribosomal RNA", at positions 524 to 776 of the family's 1533-position model. The record is from RNAcentral.